This 396-nucleotide long non-coding RNA is filed under the name Salvia miltiorrhiza (redroot sage). RNAcentral's name for it is "long non-coding RNA (SMIL_LNC001098)". Lineage: Eukaryota; Viridiplantae; Streptophyta; Magnoliopsida; Lamiales; Lamiaceae. The record is from RNAcentral.
UACUACCCAAUCGCCAGAACCGAAGGUAUUGUUACUAGUAAUUAGAGUGUUGAUUAAUGAUGGUUAUUAAAUGUUAUGGGCGCUUCUUUUCUUCCAUGGGCGACGAUUGGAUCGACUGGCGUGCGAAACUUCGGGCUGUGUGAGUUGGGGGAGGAGGCUGUCGAUGGCGGCGACCCUCGUUGCAGUCGAUCGGCGAUAGGGCUGAGGCUAUGAGGUUGCUGAGCCGUGAACAGAGGGAUCGGCGGCGGCGGUGGCUUAUUAGCUGCUGCUGCUUGCCGGUUGGACGGGAGAGAAGGGUUAAGCGAGAGGGAGACAGAGGAGGCGGCGAUGGUGGUGAUGAUGACCAUAGAAGGUUGUAGGAGGAGCGGCGGCGGUGGCGACCACUCUUCGCCGUCG